AAGCAGGGAACUAGAGCAGCCCAGCCAACCAGACUUACCGGCCCUAUCUGCAAAGCUGCACAGCACUGUGUAUGAGCCACACAGCCUUGAGCAGGGAGCCCCACCUCUCCAUGCCGGUUUCCUCAUCAGUGAAGCUGGGGAUGACAGUCCUUGUCUCUGCACUUUGGAGUAUAUCCAAGAGAUCGCUGGCUGCCGAACUGUCCCAGUGGAAGUUGGUUCGAGGUACACAGAUGAGGAAUGGUCCCAGACCCUCAUGACGGUCAACGAGUUCAUCAGCAAAUACAUCGUGAAUGAGCCAAGGGACGUCGGGUACCUUGCUCAGCACCAGCUCUUUGACCAGAUCCCGGAGUUGAAGCAGGACAUCAGCAUCCCCGACUACUGCAGCCUGGGCGAUGGGGAGGAGGAGGAAAUCACCAUCAAUGCCUGGUGAUGGGGAGGAAGUACAUCCAGCUGUAUUCCCCGCAGGAGUCAGGGGCUCUGUACCCUCAUGACACGCACCUUCUCCAUAACACGAGCCAGGUGGGCACUGGGGGUCUGGGGUGACGUUGCAGGUUCUCCCCACUGCCCCUGCAGAUGAUGACGUCCUUUGCUUUCUUCAGGUUGACGUGGAGAAUCCCGACCUGGAAAAGUUCCCCAAGUUUGCCAAGGCCCCAUUCCUGUCCUGCAUCCUGUCUCCUGGAGAGAUCCUGUUCAUCCCGGUGAAAUACUGGCAUUACGUGCGGGCUCUGGAUUUGAGCUUCUCGGUCAGCUUCUGGUGGUCGUAGCCAGGAUAGGAGCUGAAAGGGCCUGACAUGCAGACAGCAUUCAUCUGUUCACUAAUUUCCUGGGUCCUGGAAUCUAUAGAGACAAGCAGGACUGAACCUGUGUCCUGAAGAGCCUUCACUGCCCAGUGGCAGCCCUGGGGGGCUGAGCUCCAGCACUGGACAGGCACAGAGUGGGGGCUGCCCAGGAAGGAGCACACUCCAGGCCAGGGGUGCAUGGCAGAGGAAGGUGGCGAGAGCCCAGAAGGACACUGCAGGCAGACAGCCUGCAUGGGGACUCUGGCAUCAGAAAGCCUAAUGUUUUUGGGAAACGGGUGGGUCACACGGGCAGGGGUGAAACAUGGGCUCUGAGGUUGG
Molecule: small RNA, 1118 nt
Filed under: Pan troglodytes (chimpanzee)
Lineage: Eukaryota; Metazoa; Chordata; Mammalia; Primates; Hominidae
Description: processed transcript
Source: RNAcentral